Molecule: unclassified non-coding RNA, 475 nt
Filed under: Zea mays
Lineage: Eukaryota; Viridiplantae; Streptophyta; Magnoliopsida; Poales; Poaceae
Description: misc RNA Zm00001eb179580
Source: RNAcentral
CCAUAAUGGCCCCGUACAACUUUAAGGACCACUGGAUAUGCUUCCUCAUUUAUCCUAAGGUUGGAAAGGUGCUGGUGCUCGACUCCUUGAACUUCGACCCUUCGACAUAUGCAACAUUCCUCAGCAUCUUAGAGCUUGCUUAUAGAUUCUAUAAGAUGAGAGGUGGAAAGUACGACCUGUCGAAAAAACUCGUGCCACUAGACAUCCAUCAUCACUGGCCGUGCCACAAGCAACCACAAGGAUCGGUCCUAUGUGGAUUCUAUGCGUGCGAGUUCAUGAGAGUGAACGGACGAUACAUCACGAACCCUGACAAGCAAUUUCAACGAGGAAACCCGGAGAACUUGACCGAAGCUGCAUUGUAUGGCAUAGUCGAGGACCUCUGCACAUUCAUAUUGAAAGAGGUCAUUCCCGCAGAAGGAAAAUAUCACGAUGCUUCCGGAACAUUAGCUUUGCCAGAGUUUAGAAUACUAACAGA